This 831-nucleotide ribosomal RNA is filed under the name uncultured bacterium. RNAcentral describes it as "bacterial SSU rRNA". It matches the Rfam family "Bacterial small subunit ribosomal RNA", at positions 627 to 1457 of the family's 1533-position model. The record is from RNAcentral.
UGGAAACUNUCUGACUUGAGUGCAGAAGGGGAGAGUGGAAUUCCAUGUGUAGCGGUGAAAUGCGUAGAUAUAUGGAGGANCACCAGUGGCGAAAGCGGCUCUCUGGUCUGUCACUGACGCUGAGGCUCGAAAGCGUGGGUAGCGAACAGGAUUAGAUACCCUGGUAGUNCACGCCGUAAACGAUGAGUGCUAGGUGUUAGGCCCUUUCCGGGGCUUAGUGCCGGAGCUAACGCAAUAAGCACUCCGCCUGGGGAGUACGACCGCAAGGUUGAAACUCAAAGGAAUUGACGGGGGCCCGCACAAGCGGUGGAGCAUGUGGUUUAAUUCGAAGCAACGCGAAGAACCUUACCAGGUCUUGACAUCCCGAUGCUAUUCUUAGAGAUAGGAAGUUACUUCGGUACAUCGGAGACAGGUGGUGCAUGGUUGUCGUCAGCUCGUGUCGUGAGAUGUUGGGUUAAGUCCCGCAACGAGCGCAACCCUUAUUGUUAGUUGCCAUCAUUAAGUUGGGCACUCUAGCGAGACUGCCGGUAAUAAACCGGAGGAAGGUGGGGAUGACGUCAAAUCAUCAUGCCCCUUAUGACCUGGGCUACACACGUGCUACAAUGGUCGGUACAACGAGUUGCGAGCCGGUGACGGCAAGCUAAUCUCUGAUAGCCGAUCUCAGCUCGGAUUGGAGGCUGCAACUCGCCUCCAUGAAGUCGGAAUCGCUAGUAAUCGCGGAUCAGCACGCCGCGGUGAAUACGUUCCCGGGCCUUGUACACACCGCCCGUCACACCACGAGGGUUUGUAACACCCGAAGUCGGUGUGGUAACCUUUUAGGGGCCAGCCGCC